RNAcentral lists this ribosomal RNA (1554 nucleotides) under uncultured fungus. Its description in RNAcentral is "eukaryotic LSU rRNA". The stretch from base 661 to 1554 matches the Rfam family "Eukaryotic large subunit ribosomal RNA", at positions 1 to 667 of the family's 3401-position model. Lineage: Eukaryota; Fungi. The record is from RNAcentral.
CUUGGUCAUUUAGAGGAAGUAAAAGUCGUAACAAGGUAUUCGUAGGUGAACCUGCGUAUGGAUCAUUACCGUUUGACUCGUCCGUAUUGACGACGAAAUCUAACCUCGCGCAGUCGUCUGUCACUACUGUGAACAACGAUUGUGUCGCACCAUUAUGAACAUACAGACACUACGUAGUCUGUAAACCUUUUCAUUCAACAAAUCAUUGUUGUUUAUCAUUGAAAAUGUUGAAGAAAGAAACUAAAAAUAUAAUUCUGUACGGUGGAUCACUCGGCUCGUUAUUCGAUGAAGAGCGCAGCAAAGUGCGAGAAAGCAAUGCGAAUUGCAGGACACAUUGAGCAUGAAUAACUCGAACGCAUCUAGCAGCCAAGGCGUCAGCCAAGGCUAAAUUUGCUUCAGUCUUGUUUUUAAUCACAUCAAAUUCAUUUCUUUGAAUGAGUUGCUGGCAAGUUCGAUGAUAAAAAGUCUAGCUUGCGACAUAUAUUUGAGUGUCUGUACUCAAAUACAAGCAGUAUGUUGAACGGAGUUAUACACAUACACACUUCAUUGUGAACUGUCAUAACACGAGAAAUCUUUAUCAUAUCCGCGUUUUUGGCAAUACAUAAAUGUUUGUUUUGUGUCACACACCCUCGAGAUCAUCAAUGAUCAUCAACACAUUUUCAAGCUGAAGUCAAAUUAGAAUACUUGCUGAACUUAAGCAUAUUAAUAAGCAAAGGAAAAGAAAUCAACAGAGAUUGCCUUAGUAAUGGCGAAUGAACCGGCAAAAGCUCAUUGCUGAAGCGUGUCGGGUUUACUCUUGACAUGCGUUGUAGCAUUUGGGGUGGCUACUGUAUGGUACCUGUUCGUGUGAGUUCCUUUGAUCAGGGCUUUAACCAUAGAAGGUGCUAGUCCUAUAAGCACGAACAGUUCUUUGUACUGUACAUUGUACACCUUUUGAGUAGCGUAGUUUGAGAUUGCUACGCCAACGUGGGACGUAAACUUGUCCCAAGGCUAAAUAUGAUAACGAGACCGAUAGCGAACAAGUACCGUGAGGGAAAGUUGAAAAGCACUCUGAAGAGAGAGUUAAACAGUACGUAAAACCGUACAGAAGAAAACGAAUGGCCGCAUCCAUCAGAUUGCUUUGAAUUCAAUUCGAUCUCUACACAAUGGUGAUGCCUGUCGAUCUUCUUGGAACUUCAACAGUCCAUCGACAGUUUGCAAUUGCCUAGAGUCGAGUGCAUUUUCAAAGUAUUAACUGGACCUGGAUCUAUAACAUUGAAAGCUAGUCGAAUCAGCCUGUUUUGGUAGCGAGUUUACUCGCGUUAAAGAUAUGGCUUGCAUAAAUAACAAAUUCGACUUGGCGUUAUAGGUAAAUAGACAUGUGUUCUUUGAUUUCAGUACUUUCGAGUACGGCACGUCAUGAGCAUUGUUUGUGUCACUCGGGCGACUAAUUUCUAACCGAUUUUAGAUUCGUUCGGUUCGUCGAUGCUUAAUGUUUUGUGGCUGUCAAUGAAAUCGGCAAGUCUACAGGAGUCUUGAAUGCCGAGUUAUUCGACCCGUCUUGAAACACGGACC